Molecule: ribosomal RNA, 253 nt
Filed under: uncultured bacterium
Lineage: Bacteria
Description: partial 16S ribosomal RNA
Rfam family: Bacterial small subunit ribosomal RNA
Source: RNAcentral
UACGUAGGGGGCAAGCGUUGUCCGGAAUCAUUGGGCGUAAAGCGCGUGUAGGCGGCUUGGUAAGUCCGCUCUGAAAGCCCGGGGCUCAACCCCGGGAGGCGGGUGGAUACUGUCAAGCUCGAGUCCGGAAGAGGCGAGUGGAAUUCCUGGUGUAGCGGUGAAAUGCGCAGAUAUCAGGAGGAACACCAAUGGCGAAGGCGGCAUCCUGGACCGGCAUUGACGCUGAGGAGCGAAAGCUAGGGGAGCAAACGGG